GGAUGUAGCUCAGUGGUAGAGCACUUGCCUAGCAUUUGCAAGGCCCUGGGUUCAAUCCCCAGGACUG
This 67-nucleotide transfer RNA is filed under the name Marmota monax (woodchuck). RNAcentral's name for it is "tRNA.Ala". The stretch from base 6 to 62 matches the Rfam family "tRNA", at positions 8 to 63 of the family's 71-position model. Rfam says of the family: Transfer RNA (tRNA) molecules are approximately 80 nucleotides in length. Lineage: Eukaryota; Metazoa; Chordata; Mammalia; Rodentia; Sciuridae. The record is from RNAcentral.